Molecule: ribosomal RNA, 253 nt
Filed under: uncultured bacterium
Lineage: Bacteria
Description: partial 16S ribosomal RNA
Rfam family: Bacterial small subunit ribosomal RNA
Source: RNAcentral
UACAGAGGUCUCAAGCGUUGUUCGGAUUCAUUGGGCGUAAAGGGUGCGUAGGCGGCGCGGUAGGUGGGUUGUGAAAACUGGAGGCUCAACCUUCAGACGUCGACCCAAACCCCCUGGCUAGAGUCCGGAAGAGGAGAGUGGAAUUCCUGGUGUAGCGGUGAAAUGCGCAGAUAUCAGGAAGAACACCCGUGGCGAAGGCGGCUCUCUGGGACGGUACUGACGCUGAGACGCGAAAGCGUGGGGAGCGAACAGG